GAUGAACGCUGGCGGCGUGCCUAAUACAUGCAAGUCGAGCGAACGGACGAGAAGCUUGCUUCUCUGAUGUUAGCGGCGGACGGGUGAGUAACACGUGGAUAACCUACCUAUAAGACUGGGAUAACUUCGGGAAACCGGAGCUAAUACCGGAUGAUAUUUUGAACCGCAUGGUUCAAAAGUGAAAGACGGUCUUGCUGUCACUUAUAGAUGGAUCCGCGCUGCAUUAGCUAGUUGGUAAGGUAACGGCUUACCAAGGAAACGAUGCAUAGCCGACCUGAGAGGGUGAUCGGCCACACUGGGACUGAGACACGGUCCAGACUCCUACGGGAGGCAGCAGUAGGGAAUCUUCCGCAAUGGGCGAAAGCCUGACGGAGCAACGCCGCGUGAGUGAUGAAGGUCUUCGGAUCGUAAAACUCUGUUAUUAGGGAAGAACAUAUGUGUAAGUAACUGUGCACAUCUUGACGGUACCUAAUCAGAAAGCCACGGCUAACUACGU
RNAcentral lists this ribosomal RNA (496 nucleotides) under uncultured bacterium. RNAcentral describes it as "partial 16S ribosomal RNA". It matches the Rfam family "Bacterial small subunit ribosomal RNA", at positions 28 to 506 of the family's 1533-position model. The record is from RNAcentral.